UGAUAAUAGUAUGAUAAUGCAUGAUAAUAGUAUGAUCACGUCGGGUGAUGUCCCCCCUGGGGUAGAGAGGUCUGUCUUAGGGGUGAUGUCCCCCCCUGGGGUAGAGAGGUCUGUCUUAGGGGUGGUGUCCCCCCUGGGGUAGAGGUCUGUCUUAGGGGUGGUGUCCCCCCCUGGGGUAGAGGUCUGUCUUAGGGGUGAUGUCCCCCCCUGGGGUAGAGGUCUGUCUUAGGGGUGGUGUCCCCCCUGGGGUAGAGGUCUGUCUUAGGGGUGGUGUCCCCCCUGGGGUAGAGGUCUGUCUUGUUUUGUAAUAUUAUGAUAAUGCAUGAUAAUAACACGCUAAUGCAUGAUAAUAGUAUGAUAAUGCAUGAUAAUAGUAUGAUCACGUCGUCUGAGGGUUAACUGACACAUGCUCUAAUUCAUUAAUAGACAUCAAGGGCUUGUGUCCCAAAUGGCACCCUAUUCCCUACAUAGUGCACUACUACCUUAUAGACCCUGGUUCAAAGUAGUGCAC
Long non-coding RNA from Oncorhynchus tshawytscha (Chinook salmon), 511 nucleotides. NCBI's taxonomy places the organism in Eukaryota, Metazoa, Chordata, Actinopteri, Salmoniformes, Salmonidae. The record is from Ensembl.